Long non-coding RNA from Cucumis sativus (cucumber), 3836 nucleotides. RefSeq lists it as uncharacterized. The transcript is spliced from 2 exons. The record is from RefSeq and is a predicted model, not a curated record. Lineage: Eukaryota; Viridiplantae; Streptophyta; Magnoliopsida; Cucurbitales; Cucurbitaceae.
GUUCUAUAAUCUGUACCUUUUUUUUUUAUGUUUUUUUAUUCAUUUUCUCUCUGUCUUUUCGAUGCUUCUUAUCCUUGGCCUAUCGUGAAACUUAAAUUAUGUUUGGAUGCAUUAUUGCUGGAUUGUGAUUAAUUAGACAUGGAAGGGUUCCUUGCCCAUGGUUUGAAGGUGGGUGGUACUUUGUAGCAUGCAGAAAUUGGUAUGUCUUGAUUACCACAAAGCUUAAGUGAACCUGUGCUAAAGUGCAGUGUUGGAAUGGAACAAAGAUGCUUCUUCAGUGUAGGGAUCCUAAAUAAUAUAGCAAUUAGUUAUGCGCAUGUACUCAAAAAUUUGGGCCUGAUGUAAGAGUGGUAGGAGUGAGACAUCAUUAAUAUAUUUUAUGUUGAGAAAGAUGGGAAGUAGGCGAGGAUUUGGUUGUUUGAACGUCUAGGAAGCAGGCGCGGUUUAACGAUGUAUUGAGAGGUAUGGUAUAAUGCUGCACAGGAGAAAAUUAUUCCUAGACAAGUGGUCUAUCAACAUAAAUUCUGAAGAAUAAUUGUAUUGUUUUCCAUAUAAGAAUAAAGCCUUAGAGACAUUCGUGCGUAACUCAUCCAUCCAUGUAAUUGAGUUCUUUUUUUCUUUUUUUGGUAAGAAAAAAAACUUUGGAGGUAUACCAUGUAGACUUGUUCAUUGAGUUCUCCAUGAAGGAGGUAGUUGUGGUCACCCAAUUGAGGCAUUCACUUGUUAAGAAUAUGCCUUACAGAGAUACACAGCUGUCAAUUUUAUCGAUGGGAGAGUUUGAUGGAGGACUUGGGAAUUUAAAGUCUAGACAUAUGGCUUUGUUACCUAGAUAGGAGCAGUGUUUUACGAAUGAACCACAUGCUUUUCGGAGGAAAGUCAUUAUCACAAUUCGUGGUUCUUCAGUUUUUUAUUGGACUUCUGCUUCAAGAACUAAUUUGGGUCUUCAAAGUGCUUGAAUGAACAUCUCAAAGCUUUGGAAGCAAUUUAAUGCUCUUGCUCUUUUCAGAUUGGGUAAUGGGAGAAGAAUUAUGUUUUAGAAUGGUAUUUGGUUAGGAACUUAUUUCCCUCGGCUGCUUGCUGUAUUUUAAUCUCCUAAUUGACUUUUUCGGAUCACUGGGACGUUCCAAUUGGUGCUUGAUUUCUUUCGUCAAUACUUAAUGAAGAAAUACUUGAGUUUCAAUCAUUACCAUCCUCAGUUUCAGCAGUUUCUAUUGAUUCUAGAAUUUGGUCUCUUGAACCUUCAAGUAUUUUCUCUAUCAAAUCUUUAACCACACGUUUGGUAUCUUCUUUGCCAAGGGAUAAAGAGUUGUACUCAAGAGCCUUUGGAAUUUCAAGGCCAAAACGGAUAAAUAUUUUGAUAUGGAUUACGUUGAAUUACAACCUUAUUACUUCAGUCCAUUUGAGAACAUCCGAUACAACCUUAUUACUUCAUAGGUGUUGAAAAAGAAAAAAUUCAUGAAGUGCUUAAUGGCAUCAGUUCGCCAGCUUUUACCUUGUGGGGGAGGGAACACUUCUUCAUAUAUUCUUCUAUGGCUCCUUUGCUAAUCAGAUUUCGGUAUGAUUGCUUUCUAUUUUGAAUAUCCAUUGAACAUUCUUCAAUAAUUUUUGAAAUAUUGUUACUUGCUUACUGGAAUUGUGCUACACAUCAAAGCCGGAUUGUUUUCAGUAAAUGCAGUUAGAACAAUUAAACUUUGGUUGGAAAGGAAUGAGCCUAUCUUCCAUGAUAAACUUUUACUGGAGUUUGAAUGUUUUGAAUUCUUGAAGUCCUCUACUUGGUGUUCUCUUUCCAAAUUACCUGGGGGGUUCUUCUAUUCAAGUCUAGUGUUUCAAAAUGCCCAAGGCUCACUAAGGCAUAUUUGCCUCUAAAGCCUAGGCACAAGGCACACAAAAAAGUCAUCCAAAUUAACUGGUGUGAGGGUGGUGGUUUGUGGAAGAUGAAGAUGAAGAUGAAGCGUUAGUCUUAGACUUCAUUUUUAAGGUACCGACACUAGAAUAAUAUGCAGGUUUUUUUGCUCUAGCAACUCUUCAAAUGUCGCCCCAUGUUAAAGAGUCGUUAUCCAAAACAAGAUCCUCCUCCUCCUCUGAUCGUCAACCAUUCUUUCAAUCAGUCACUCAUUACUAUCAUCUAUCUCUUUUAAAGAGAUAUGGUCGAGGAUGUUUUGAAUGUUAUGUCUGCGUUUCAGUGCUCUAUUAUAUUUUAUGAGUAAUAAAUCAUUUAGACAACUUUGAGCAAAUCUAUUCCUUUUCAUGCUAUGAAGCUACAAGUAUACAUAACAAAAUUUUCAUUUUUAACAUCUAGAGGCACUACAAGUAAUAGAGAUACCUAACCUAUCAAAAACGCUGCAAUUACUUUCACAUCUCAAGACACCACAAGUGAAACAUCAAAUUCUCUUAGCAAAAUUUUGCAAGUUUUGAGUUGAUUGUGUGACGAUCCCACCAUUCCACUAAAGAUCAAAACUAUAUUAGUAGCUUUCAAUUCGAAAUGAUAUUCAAUGUUUAAUCAAAGACUUCAAGUUCAAGUUAACUGGAGAUAUUUUGUCUCUGUCUAAUUGCUAAAGGAUGUCCAAAUAGUCUUUCAGCUUUCUUGUAUUUGGUUACCUCUCUAAAGUGGUUUGUCUUGAAUGUCCAAGGAAGCACCCAUUUUGUUAUGCAUGUAUAAAACCCGUUAACAAUUUCAUCAUCAACUUGAACAUUUGGAUUUGAAUAAUAAAAUUUUGGGUUUAGAUAAUAUCUGGCUACAUGCAAAGGAGGAUGGAACUGAAGCUUCUCAUUGUUGAUCAAUUAUUGUAAAAAUAUUUUUAUACUUUUCUUCUUUACCAUUGAAGGAUUUGGCGAUGACCUCCUUAGCUCUAUCACUUGUAUCCCAUCCCAUAAGAGGCCUUUUCUUGCUAUCCACUGAGUACUUGAACUAAAGGGCCGGAUACUUUAAGAGCAAAAACAAUGGUAUUCCAAAAACUUUAAGAGCAACAAGGUGUUUAGGGGCGUGGAGAGGAACCCUAGUGAGGUUUGGUUUUUGGUGAGGUUUCAUGCUUCUCUCCGGGCUUCGGUUUCGAAGGUGUUUUUGUAAUUAUUAUGUAGGCAGUAUUUUACCUAGUUACCUAGUUGGAAACCCUUUCUUUAGUGGGUUCUCUUUUGGGGCUUGUUUUUUUUUGGAUGCCCAUGUAUUCUUUCAUUUUUUUCUCAGUGAAAGCCGUUAUUUCUAUUAAAAAAAAAGGUUGUCAACAAAAUUGUUUGAACAAACUUGUAUGAGGCUGUUCAUUGUAUGGAAGACAAAUUUGUCUUUUGUUUAAAAAUAACUUAUGUUAAGUAGCAGCUCAUGAACUAUGAAGUGUGGCCUAUGUGAUUCUCUGACCGUUUACUUUUGUAAUUUGAUCUUGCAUUAUAUAUCUUCAUUUAUUGAUGUUAUAAAAUUAGGGAUUUGAUAUGUAUCUCUCUUCUCUCUUUGCAAAGAUUGAUUAUAUUAGUGAUUUGUUUGUGGAAGUGCACCACGCGUUUUGUUACAAGGAAUUAAUCUAUUAGAGGGUCCCACUUAUAAAAAAUGGUAAAAUAGUGGUUGACAUGACAACUUUAAAAAAUGUCUAUAGGAUGUAUGAAUAUUAGUGGUUACUUUGUUCUAAGUUUGUAGACCUUUAGAAAGAUGUUGGGAAUCUACAAAUUAGUUUGCAAACAACAAACGCAGAGUGAGCAAUAGUAUCCUUACAUACUAGAGAUAUUUUUAAAAGUUGUCCACCACUAUUUUGCCAGGAGCGCCCCAAUUCAUGGUAACAAAAACAUGGUGUACUUUUGAUGCCUCUCUCGUUUUGGGGAGAAGAAAAUGUUUCUUGUAGAAGUACAAA